CACGGUGUGUGUGAAAUAGCCAGUGUGAAACGCAGAAUUUUCACUGUCCAAUCACAAAAGCUGCACAUUCACCUAAUUGGCAUAUGCUUGUGAUGCGUUCUGCAUGGUAUUUUAAGUAAAUGUAUACUACUUCAUCCUCCCAUCUGAGUUUAAAAAAUCCUACAAAAAAACGAAAUACUUUAAUUUAAUCCGUGCGAAAACAUUGGUUGCUAUGGUUAACAAUAACCGUUGCUGUAUAGGCUGGUAAACGUGUUCCCACUUAGCUAGCCAACUGAAGAAGCCACAAACUCUACAGCACGAAGGGCAGCUAAAGUUGCAUUUGUAUCUGUUUGAUAGAUUUUCUAAUGACAUUUAAUUGGAUAUAGCUAUUCUUGAUAAUAAUAUCGUUGCAUGAUUUUGCUUGGAUUAGAAAAAUUGAUGUCCGUGUACUGCAUUCACUGCACAGGACUAUAUCGCAUGUCAAACACUGUUUCUAGGGUUGCCAACUGUCCCGUAUUAGCCGGGACCUCCCUUGUCCCGUAUAUUCAUCCAAUCACAGUAUAGUGUAAACGCGCCAAUUCCUGCAAAGUCAUUUCUGUUAUUGUUCGGUCGGUUUGGUAUAUCAAGGAAAUAUGGAUAAACAUGCAAAAAAGACUGUGCAGCUACAACAAACAACGUGAAGCAAAGACGUGUGUUAAGGCUGUCAGUGGUGACUCGACGAAAGCUUUCUGUACUUUAUGCGUCGGGAAUUCUCAAUUGGCCAUGAAGGGGAGAAUGACCUAACUCAGCAUGCAUCCACAUAAAUAAUGCAUCCACAGAAAUGCACAAGGCCAAGCUAGCUAAAUAGCAAUAUCGGUGUAUUCUUCGUGACAUAAUUGGAAAACACCUCUCCGUUUACCAGUUAUUGAGCAGUACCAACAAUCGCAUUCUGAAAGCUAAUUGCCCAUAAUUAGCUCAUAGCUCAUAAUGCCUGCAAGCACGCCUGCGAUCAGUGGAUAUUGAGACAAUUGUUUUACAGAUCUACAGCCACUUAUCAGUAUAUGCUUCCCGAAGAGAGGAACUGCGUGCAUUUUUUUUGUUGCCUUUGUUGACACUGAGUGGCGUGAAAUUCUGCGACAUGUUUGCACACGAUGGCUCUCUCUUCAUCCAGCUGUCGAUCGUCUCCAGCAAAGCUGGCCAGAUCUUACGUCAUACUUCAGGUCCCUUAGGGAGACCUGUCCUGUGGCACUGAAUAGUAUUUUUGAAAACGAAAAAAAAACGGAAGCUGCUGAGAUUUAUCUGUGCUUUUUCCACAAAGUGUGUGUGUUUUUGACCAACUCGUAAAAAAGCUGGACGAAACAACGCUCUGCAUCACAGAUGUUUACGAGGAAGUCCAAAAGUUCAAAAUUUAAGAUGCUUCAGCUGAAACAGGACAGUUUUGUCUGAGUAGACUAAGCAGCUGAUGGACAAACAAUUGUCAGCACAAAGGUCCAAGCAGCAACAGGACUUUGAAGUUCUAUGACACUGUCAUUACAUACAUUGACAAGUGGUUUGAUUUCUCACCAGAAAAUGUAAUGGUGAAACUGAUGUGCCUCUAUGAGGAGCUCUCCUUCACUGACCUGGAGCAGGUGGUGGUUGCCCUCAAAAUGACAGACAGUCAGUAUGGACCAACUCUAUGAAGAGUUUUGUACUAGCUGGGAGGAAAUGCAGAAAGCCAGACAGGAUACCACAAAAUCCACCAGUGAGAAGUAGGUGGCAGUUUUCCAAAACCUAGGGAAAGCCAACUUGAUCAACAUAUUCAGGAUUGUCUCAUUUGUCCUCAGUGUGCCAGGCUCAAAUGCCUUUGUAGAAAGGAUUUUUUUGUCUGAUUACCAUUAAAUGGUCAGACUCAAGAAACAGAUGCAGCACAGAGCUGAUCAAAAAUGAACUUCAAAUAUCUGUGAACUGUGACUUGUCAUGUAAUGACUUCUCUCUGGCUAUGCAAGAGGAGAAAGGACUGCUUGAAUCAGUCAAGAGCAGCAAAAAAUAUGUAGACUUGCAGGAAGUCCUGGAUCUCCCCCGGCAACAGACAGAACUUCUCCUGGUACUCCGCCUCCACUGCACCUUGCAGCUGAGGUCAGAGGUCAGAGUUAGGAGAAAGGGGUAGAGGUCAGGGGUUAUAGUUAGAUGCUAGCGGUUUAGGGUUACAGAUUUAAAGGUAAGAGGUCAUGGGUUAGUUGGUAUGUCACCUUUGGUUUCUCAUCAAGAAUUUGCUGCUGGAUGUCUUUGUGCUGCUCCACCAGUCUCUCUUGGCGUUUUGCCUGAGCAUCCUCCAGCUAGAGCAGGGAAGAGAGAGGUUACCUUCAGUGAUUGGACUGCUCCAUCCUGGAAGCGCUAUCACUUCACAGGAAAAUAACAGUACCAGACGCCACACCGUUGAUUCUCCAACGAGAGUACAGAGUGAUGUCUGGCCACGAGCAGUGGAGGAAAAAGUACCCAAUCAUCAUACUUGAGUAAAAGUAAAGAUACCUUAAUAGAAAAUUACUCAAGUAAAAGUGAAAGUCACCCAGUAAAAUACUAGAAUAAAGUCUCAAGUAGUAUUGGGUUUUAAAUAUACUUAAGUUAAAUAUAUAUAUAUGCUACAAUAUACUUAAGUAUCAAAAGUAAAAGCACAAAUAAUUUCAAAUUACUUAUAUUAAGCAAACCAGACAGCACAGUUUUCUUGUUUUGUUUAAUUUACAGAUUGCCAGGGGCACACUCCAACACUCAGACAUAAUUUACAAAUGUUUAGUGAGUCCGCCAGAUUAGAGGCAGUAGAGGUGACCAGGGAUGUUCUCUUGAUAAGUAUGUGAAUUGGACCAUUUUCCUGUCACCCUCCACCUCUCAAAAUGUAAGAAGUACUUUUGGGUGUCAGGGAAAAUGUAUGGAGUAAAAAGUUCAUAAUUUUCUUUAGGAAUGUAGUGAAGUAAAAGUGAAAGUAGUCAAAAAUAUAAAUAGUGAAGUACAGAUUCCCCCAAAAAACAACUUAAAGUGGUACUUUAAAGUAUUUUUACUUAAGUACUUUACACCACUAUCCACGAGAGACUCUCUGACCCCCAAUCCUUCCAUCCUUACCCUUUUGAUGUUCUGUACCACUUCAUUCACAUAUGAUUUGUUGAUCUCCAACUUCCCCC
RNAcentral lists this long non-coding RNA (3110 nucleotides) under Salmo salar (Atlantic salmon). Its description in RNAcentral is "lncRNA (ENSSSAG00000112237.1)". The record is from RNAcentral. Lineage: Eukaryota; Metazoa; Chordata; Actinopteri; Salmoniformes; Salmonidae.